This 1385-nucleotide ribosomal RNA is filed under the name metagenome. Its description in RNAcentral is "SSU rRNA". It matches the Rfam family "Eukaryotic small subunit ribosomal RNA", at positions 358 to 1801 of the family's 1831-position model. The record is from RNAcentral.
GGUAACGGGAAAUUAGGGUUUGAUUCCGGAGAGGGGGCCUGAGAGAUGGCCACCACACCCAAGGAAGGCAGCAGGCGCGUAAAUUACCCAAUCCUGACACAGGGAGGUAGUGACAAUAAAUAACAAUGCCGGGCCUUCUUAGGUCUGGCAAUUGGAAUGAGAACAAUUUAAACCCCUUAUCGAGGAACAAUUGGAGGGCAAGUCUGGUGCCAGCACCCGCGGUAAUUCCAGCUCCACUAGCGUAUAUUAAAGUUGUUGCAGUUAAAAAGCUCGCAGUUGAACCUCUGUCUGGGGCUAGUUUUGGCUUUGGUCAGGCUAGUUCUAGGCAUCCGCCUACAAGACUUAGAGGGCAUUCAGUUGUUCACUAGGAGGAGUAGGCAUUUUACUUUGAAAAAAUUAGAGUGUUUAAGGCAGGCAAUCGCCCGCAUAUAUUAGCAUGGAAUAAUAGAAUAGGACACUUUUCCAUUUCGUUGGUUAUUGGAAUCGUGUAAUGAUUAAUAGGGACAGUUGUGGGCAUUUGUAUUUAAUUGUCAGAGGUGAAAUUCUUGGAUUUAUUAAAGACAAACUAACGCGAAAGCAUUUGCCAAGGAUGUUUUCAUUAAUCAAGAACGAAAGUUAGGGGAUCAAAGACGAUCAGAUACCGUCCUAGUCUUAACUAUAAACUAUUCCGACUCAAUGUUUGACUGGCUUAUAUAACCAGUUGAGCGUUGUAUGAGAAAUCAAAGUCUUUAGGUUCUGGGGGGAGUAUGGUUGCAAAGCUGAAACUUAAAGGAAUUGACGGAAGAGCACAACCAGGAGUGGAUUCUGCGGCUUAAUUUGACUCAACACGGGGAAACUUACCAGGUUAAAACAAUAGUGGGAUUGACAGUUUGAGAGCGCUUUCUUGAUUGGUUGGGUGGUGGUGCAUGGCCGUUCUUAGUUGGUGGAGUGAUUUGUCUGCUUAAUUGCGUUAACGAACGAGACCUUAACCUGCUUACUAGACUGGCGAUCAUCAAUCGUUAGCUCUUCUUAGAGGGACUUUGGUUGUUUUAACUCCAAGGAAGUUUGAGGCAAUAACAGGUCUGUGAUGCCCUUAGAUAUCCUGGGCCGCACGCGUCAUACAAUGACUAGUUCAGAAAGUUUUCUCCUGACCCGAAAGGGGAUGGGUAAUCUUGAUAAUACUAGUCGUGUUAGGGAUCGAACUUUGCAAUUAUAGAUCUUGAACGAGGAAUUCCUAGUAAGUGCGGUUCAUCAGACCGUACUGAUUACGUCCCUGCUCUUUGUACACACCGCCCGUCGCUUCUACCGAGUGGGUGGUCCGGUGAGAUAAUUGAACUUCGCAGGUAACUGAGAGGAAAGAUUAUCAAACCUAUCCACCUCGAGGAAGAAGAAGUCGUAACAAGGUU